RNAcentral lists this small RNA (145 nucleotides) under Chrysemys picta bellii (western painted turtle). RNAcentral describes it as "TUC338 (ENSCPBG00000005086.1)". Lineage: Eukaryota; Metazoa; Chordata; Testudines; Emydidae. The record is from RNAcentral.
UUGACAGCUCUAGAAAAUGAAAUCUAUUUAUCCACAGGACAGAUACAGCACAGGCAGCAGCAGUUCAAGCUUCCUUACAAUGCUUUGCCAAUGAGCAGAGAGAGGCCAGUUCUUAUUCUAAUUCACUAGCUCAUACAGCCCUAAU